UGGUCAGUUAGGUCAGUUAAAGGGCUGUGUUCAUGGUGAGUCAGCUAAAAGACCAUGAGUCAGUUAAGAUCAAUGUUAAUUGUUUACUUAGAUCAAAAGGCCUGAUCAUGUGUUCACUGUGAGCCUGUUCACUGUGAGUAAGUUGAGAUCAUGUUAAAUGUUUAUUUGAUAAAUAAAUAAAAGGCCUGAUCUUGUUUAUCAUGAGUGUUCUUGAGCUUCCGAUGCCAAUGAUGCAACAGUUGUCCAUCGUUGGAUCUAUA
Molecule: long non-coding RNA, 260 nt
Filed under: Hordeum vulgare
Lineage: Eukaryota; Viridiplantae; Streptophyta; Magnoliopsida; Poales; Poaceae
Description: long non-coding RNA (HVUL_LNC016626)
Source: RNAcentral